RNAcentral lists this ribosomal RNA (411 nucleotides) under uncultured bacterium. RNAcentral describes it as "bacterial SSU rRNA". It matches the Rfam family "Bacterial small subunit ribosomal RNA", at positions 123 to 525 of the family's 1533-position model. The record is from RNAcentral.
AACGUGCCCAAUCGUGGGGGAUAACGCAGCGAAAGCUGUGCUAGUACCGCAUACGAUCUACGGAUGAAAGCGGGGGACUCAGCAAUGGGCCUCGCGCGAAUGGAGCGGCCGAUAUCAGAUUAGCUAGUUGGUGGGGUAAAGGCUCACCAAGGCGACGAUCUGUAGCUGGUCUGAGAGGACGACCAGCCACACUGGAACUGAGACACGGUCCAGACUCCUACGGGAGGCAGCAGUGGGGAAUUUUGGACAAUGGGCGCAAGCCUGAUCCAGCAAUGCCGCGUGCAGGAUGAAGGCCUUCGGGUUGUAAACUGCUUUUGUACGGAACGAAAAGACUCCUUCUAAUAAAGGGGGUUCAUGACGGUACCGUAAGAAUAAGCACCGGCUAACUACGUGCCAGCAGCCGCGGUAAUA